GAUGAACGCUGGCGGCGUGCCUAAUACAUGCAAGUCGAGCGAACGGACGAGAAGCUUGCUUCUCUGAUGUUAGCGGCGGACGGGUGAGUAACACGUGGAUAACCUACCUAUAAGACUGGGAUAACUUCGGGAAACCGGAGCUAAUACCGGAUAAUAUUUUGAACCGCAUGGUUCAAAAGUAAAAGACGGUCUUGCUGUCACUUAUAGAUGGAUCCGCGCUGCAUUAGCUAGUUGGUGAGGUAACGGCUUACCAAGGCAACGAUGCAUAGCCGACCUGAGAGGGUGAUCGGCCACACUGGAACUGAGACACGGUCCAGACUCCUACGGGAGGCAGCAGUAGGGAAUCUUCCGCAAUGGGCGAAAGCCUGACGGAGCAACGCCGCGUGAGUGAUGAAGGUCUUCGGAUCGUAAAACUCUGUUAUUAGGGAAGAACAUAUGUGUAAGUAACUGUGCACAUCUUGACGGUACCUAAUCAGAAAGCCACGGCUAACUACGUG
This 497-nucleotide ribosomal RNA is filed under the name uncultured bacterium. RNAcentral describes it as "partial 16S ribosomal RNA". It matches the Rfam family "Bacterial small subunit ribosomal RNA", at positions 28 to 507 of the family's 1533-position model. The record is from RNAcentral.